RNAcentral lists this ribosomal RNA (253 nucleotides) under uncultured bacterium. RNAcentral's name for it is "partial 16S ribosomal RNA". It matches the Rfam family "Bacterial small subunit ribosomal RNA", at positions 524 to 776 of the family's 1533-position model. The record is from RNAcentral.
UACGAAGGGGGCUAGCGUUGUCCGGAAUCACUGGGCGUAAAGCGACCGCAGGCGGCCUGACAAGUCGGAUGUGAAAGCCCUGGGCUCAACUCAGGAAUUGCAUUCGAAACUGGCAGGCUCGAGUACGGGAGAGGGGGGUGGAAUUCCUGGUGUAGGGGUGAAAUUCGUUGAUAUCAGGAGGAACACCGGCGGCGAAGGCGGCCCCCUGGCCCGCAACUGACGCUCAUGGUCGAAAGCGUGGGGAGCAAACAGG